This 1032-nucleotide long non-coding RNA is filed under the name Olea europaea subsp. europaea. Lineage: Eukaryota; Viridiplantae; Streptophyta; Magnoliopsida; Lamiales; Oleaceae. The record is from RNAcentral.
CCAUGAUCCAUCUCUCUCUCUCUCUCUCUCUCUCUCUCUCUCUCUCUCUACCUACAUACAGUGAGCAAAGACAUGCCAUUUUUGCAGUUUUAACUUAAAUUUAUGAGAAGGGUUGUGAUAAAAGUAUGGAGAAUCUGUAAAGCUCAGGAGGGAUAGCGCCAUUGAUAAACGAUCAUAUAUAACUCUCGGCCAGCCACCGUCUUUGGUGGUGGUGCUGGUGCUGGUGCUGGUGGACAAGGGUUGUGAUCGUGAAGGUAGAUCUAUAACGCUAUCCAUCCUGAGUUUCAUGGUUUCUUUGUACUGCGUACCUCUCGUACAAAUGAUGUUAAGGCUUCCAUGUUUGCAGAGGUAGAAAUGAUGACUCCAAUUGGGUACGGCCUUGCUUAAUUAAUGCAUGUUAAUUUUUACACAAUUACUACUCGUGCAUGUAUUUUAAAGUAAUUUAUGAAAUUUUUAUCUUGUUAUUGCCACAUAUUUGGACAUUAUAUCUGACAAAAUGAUAUUUCUUGAUUUAAUCGAUGUUAAAAAGUUUGCAUUUAACCAUAUUUUUCUCGAUUUAAAGACUAAUUUUUCUUCAGGAGAUCAAGAACUUGGUUGCUAAAGCAGUACUUCUUGGAGAAAACAUUAUGAAAACCAGGGCCAGUUUAUGCAAUGUUGAGAUUGGAAUUGGUGGUGCAGAUUACGUUGAGUGAAGAGAUUUAUUUUUGUGAAUAUUAUUGUAUAAUUUAAUGUUGGGAGGCAAGAAAUCUUGCUACUUGUACAGAUUUUUUGUAAAUGGCAGAAUUUAAUUGGUUAGUUUAACUUUGAUUUUUAUUCAAGAUUUAAUGAAAUCUUGUCAGUGGACAUUCAAUCAAUCUGUAGACCUUAACACGUAGCAUUUCUCAUCUGCAUUAUUAUUUGGAAAAGAAGACUGAUUACAAAAAUUGACUGAUAACCAUUUUUAUUCAGGCCCUGGCUUGAUCGGGCUUUUCCUGAAGUUUCUAUAUUUAUUGCUAAACUUAGAUUUCUGCAGUUCCUGCCCAGAUGUACAGG